AACGAACGCUGGUGGCGUGUUUUAUACAUGCAAGUCGAGCGAGGACAGUAGCUUGCUACUGAGCCGAGCGGCGAACGGGUGAGUAACGCGUAAGCAAUCUGCCCCACAAUCGGGAACAACCGUGCCAACGCGCGGCUAAUGCCGGAUAUUGUGUCCUACUGCAUAGUAGGUUAACGAAAGAUUUAUCGUUGUGGGAUUGAGCUUGCGUCCGAUUAGCUAGUUGGCGGGGUAAUAGCCCACCAAGGCGACGAUCGGUAGCCGGCCUGAGAGGGUGAUCGGCCACAUUGGGACCUGAGAUACGGCCCAGACUCCUACGGGAGGCAGCAGCUAAGAUAUUCCGCAAUGGACGAAAGUCUGACGGAGCGACGCCGCGUGGAUGAAGAAGGCCGAAAGGUUGUAAAGUUCUUUUGCUAGGGGAGAAUAAGUGAGGGAGGAAUGCCCUCAUGAUGACAAGGACUAGCGAAUAAGCCCCGGCCAACUACGUGCCAGCAGCCGAC
Molecule: ribosomal RNA, 497 nt
Filed under: uncultured bacterium
Lineage: Bacteria
Description: bacterial SSU rRNA
Rfam family: Bacterial small subunit ribosomal RNA
Source: RNAcentral